Molecule: ribosomal RNA, 274 nt
Filed under: uncultured bacterium
Lineage: Bacteria
Description: partial 16S ribosomal RNA
Rfam family: Bacterial small subunit ribosomal RNA
Source: RNAcentral
AUACAGAGGGUGCGAGCGUUAAUCGGAAUUACUGGGCGUAAAGCGCGCGUAGGCGGCUUAUUAAGUCAGAUGUGAAAUCCCCGGGCUCAACCUGGGAACUGCAUCUGAUACUGGUAAGCUAGAGUUUGGGAGAGGGAAGUAGAAUUUCAGGUGUAGCGGUGAAAUGCAUAGAGAUCUGAAGGAAUACCAGUGGCGAAGGCGACUUCCUGGCCUAAAACUGACGCUGAGGUGCGAAAGCGUGGGUAGCGAACAGGAGUAGAAACCCUAGUAGUCC